RNAcentral lists this long non-coding RNA (698 nucleotides) under Lathyrus oleraceus (garden pea). RNAcentral describes it as "Pisum sativum (pea) long non-coding RNA (PSAT_LNC008657)". The record is from RNAcentral. Lineage: Eukaryota; Viridiplantae; Streptophyta; Magnoliopsida; Fabales; Fabaceae.
UUGAUGGUGUGUGCAAAUUCCAUAUCAUAAAUUCAUUGAAAUAUAUGUCAUUUUUGAAUCAAAAUAGGACUUAACCAAUUGUGAGGAAGCUUUCCAAUGUACACUAAAAUGCGGGAAACCAAGCAUUAUUUCAACUCAUUCUUAUCAUGCUAAAUCAUGCAUUAAUCUAUUUUUGUGUGAAAAUUUUGAAAAUGAUAGAGGCAUUGUUUGUUAUGAGAAAAACCACUUGACCAAAAAGUUUGAAUCAACUAACCUUGUGAGGAGUGAUCCUUAGUUAACCCCAUUUGAGCUUACUUUAGGAUUCAUUUGAUUGAUAAGUGUAAAAUCAAUUGAAAAUUUUGUGAAUAAAUGAAUCCUAACUUCUUUUGUGUCAAUUGAACCCUCAAACCGAGUUGUUUGCAAAUUUUGCCUUUUGCUUAUGUCUAAGUAGGGAGCAUUAUUGAAUAAAUUUGGUUUUGGAAUCUAAAGUUGGGGAGAGUAAAGUAAAAAGAUUUGAUUAGAAACUUGGAAAAGUGAGUUUUUAUGAAAGGGUGAAAAUAUGAAAAGAAACAAGAAAAAGAAAUCACCCUUGAAACCAUAGAGCAAAGAAAAAGAAAAGAUAGAAAAAAAACAAAGAAAAUGCUCAUGGUUGUGUGGAUGUAAAAAAAAAGAAAAAGACGGGGAUCAAAGAAAUAGAGUUGAAUAUAUGGAAAUGCUCC